AUGGGGACAAACGUACAAAGAAAUAGUUAAGAGCAGGAUAGCUGCCUUAGGGAAUUAGAAUAGACAGGAUGAGACAGGGAGGGGAGGCCACGGCCCGGAGCCGGGCUGUCGGGGACAGUGCGGUCCACACACCUCUGUCUCAGCGUGCAGAUGACAGUCCCAGAGCCCAUCCACUGAGGCAUAGUAUGUGCUAGGCUAACGCGCAUGUGUGUGUGCGCGCGUGCGCACGUGUGUAGUGGGCAUACAACCAACCCUGGGAAGAGGCUGUAAUAUCAGGCCCUAGAGCUGAGUCAAAACACCUUAAACAAUUUAGAAAAGGCAUCUAAUAAAAUUCAGUACAGGACCUAUUUAUGGUUUCAAACAAAAUCUUGGGAAACUACAAACGGAACCUCUUAAAUGUUUAAUCUCCACAAGAACUUGAAAAGGUGAGUACUAUUAUUACUGGCACUUAUUGGGGGUUUUUUAAUUUACUUUUUGGUACUUGGGAUCAAACCAGGGCCUUUGCACUGGACUACAGCUUCGGUCCUGUUCUGUUCUGUUUUGUACAGGAUCUCACUAAGUUUGCUAAAUUGUUUGAGCUGGGCUCCAACUUGCAAAAUCUCCUGCCUUAGCCUCCCAGAGUGCUGGAACACAGGAGUACCACCAUACCCAGCUUCAGAUAAGGAUCGUCAGUUCACAGUGGUCGUUUUGGUGCAGACAUCUGUGAACGUGGGGAUGGAGCGAAGCCCGGGGAAAGGACGACAGGGCUAGAUCCUAGAGCUGACUCAGACCAGAAAUGGACAUCUUGAGAGAUUCAGAAGAGUCAGCACUCAUUCAUGUUUUUGAACAAAAUCUUAAGAAACUAGAAUAAAAAAGAACUUUGUUAAACUAAUAAAGUAUAUCUACAAGAAGUUUUCCAAAAUAUUGUACUUUGGAAUUUAAAAGAUCACAAGAUAUAGAAUGAUUAUACAACAUCAAUUACGUAUCAAUACAAUGGUAACAAAUAGAAUAAUUUUUAAAAACAAUAUUGUUUAGUAUAGUAAACCAAACACCUAGGAAUAAAUCUAAAGAAAUAUGUAUAAGAAAAAAAAAAGAAAUAUGUAUAAGAACUCUACACUGAUAGCAAUCAAAAAAUACCUAAAAAAUGGAGAGAUAUACCAUGUUCAUGGAUUGAAAUACUCAGUAAUGUCAAGAUGACAGUUUUCCAUGAAUUGCUCUAUGAAACUUUCUUUCUUUCUUUUUUUUUUUUUUUUUUUUUUUUUUGGUUUUUCUCCGGUACCGGGAACCGAACUCACGACCUUGCGCUUGCCAGGCAGGCGCUUUUGCCACUGAGCUAAAUCCCCAGCGCGAAACUUUCUUUUUUUGAGACAGAAUCUCACUACAUAGAUCAGGCUGGCCUUAGACUCACUAUAUAGCCCAGGCUGGCCUCGAAAUCAUGGUGAUCCUCCUGCCUCAGCCUCUGGAGUGCUGGAAUGACAGGCAUGCACCACCACACCUGGCUUCCACAAAUUAAUCUAGAGAUUCAUCACAAUCUUAAUCAAAAACAUAUUUUUCACAGAAAUUGACAAGUUGUUUCUAAAAUACAUAUAAAACUGUAAAAGGCCAAAAAUAACAGCUAAGUCAAUUUCAGAAAACAAAGCUGGACAACUUCCACUUCCAGGCAUAAGGACUCAUUGUAAAGUUUUAAUAAUCAAGACUAUGCCAUGCUGGCACAAGGGUAGAUAGGCUCACCAACAGAACAGAAUAUGGAGUCCAAAAAGAACCACACAUGAGCACUCAUUUGGUUUAUGAAAAGUGCCUCAUUGUAGUAAAGUGAUAAAAGAUUCUAGAUCCAUUGAAUAGCCACAUGAGAAAAAAAUACCCAGGCUGCACUCUCACAAUGCACACCAAAAAUCAACUCCAGGUGAAGGGAAGAUAGAAAUAUAAAAGAUAAAAAUGUAAAACAUUUAAAUUAAAGCAGAGGAAAACAUCCUUGUGCUAUUGGUGUAGCAAACUUAUCUUUUUUUAAAAAAUUAAACAUAGUUCAGAGACAGAGAAAAACAGUUUAGCUUUUCCUCUCUCUCCUCUUGACUCUCACACAGCCGCUCUACACUCCGGCAUCAGCCGAUGCUGGCUGGGUCUCUAAUUCAGUUCACUUCCAGCACUGCUGACCUGGAGACAGGAUCAGAUCCCACAGGCUGAGCCCCACAAGACCGGCACCCAGUCCAGAUGCCGGCUGUAAACACAGGUCGUCACUAGGUGUAAAGUGGGGCUCCCACAGCCCCUUCUUGGGCUCGGUUACUUUGCUUUGCUAAACCAGCUCAUAGAAUUCAGAGAAACACCCUACUUAAUUUUACACCUUUAUCAGUAAAGGACAUAAUAAAUGAUAGAGAGGAAGAAAUAGCGUGUGGUGUGGAUGGGCCCUAAGCAUGAGAGCUUCUGUCCUCGUAAACCUCUUGGAACCCCAUGACGGGGAAUUUUUAUGUAGGCUUCAGCCUGUAGGCAUGAUCAAC
This is a long non-coding RNA of Chinchilla lanigera (long-tailed chinchilla), 2471 nucleotides long. The record is from Ensembl. NCBI's taxonomy places the organism in Eukaryota, Metazoa, Chordata, Mammalia, Rodentia, Chinchillidae.